Molecule: long non-coding RNA, 1309 nt
Filed under: Trifolium pratense (red clover)
Lineage: Eukaryota; Viridiplantae; Streptophyta; Magnoliopsida; Fabales; Fabaceae
Description: long non-coding RNA (TPRA_LNC003604)
Source: RNAcentral
AACAAUUGAAGAAGUGAUAACUUCUACGCCUCAACCGAUUCCAGUUCCAACAAUUGAAGAAGUGAUAACUUCUACGCCUCAACCGGUUCAAGUUUCAAGAAUUGAAGAAGUGACAACUUCUAUGCCUCAACGAGUUGAAGUUGUAGAUGAUUUUUUGAAUUCUUUAGAACGUGAUCCUGGAAAGCGUUCCCCAAUAUGGUCAUAUUCACCAAAUCAUGUCGAUCAAAUACGAAGAGCUUAUUUGAAAUGGGGUUCAUAUCGAAUCCUUUUAGAAGAAUAUCCUUUGUCCGGUAAAGAGAAUCAUCUAAGACGGUUUCAACACACUUGGUUCGACAUCUUUCUUUUUUGGCUAGAAUAUUCACCUUCAAAGGAUGCCGCAUAUUGCUUACCAUGUUAUCUUUUUAGCAAAGAACCAAGUGUCUUUAUUACUACAUGUUUUAAAGGUUGGAAAAGAGUGAGAGAUGGAAUUACUUGAAGGUAAUAGUGGUUACAAUUAAUUGAAGGAAUUCGAUUUCAUACUGAUCUUGCAUUUGAUGAAAGAAAUUAGGGGGAUAACAGAUGUGCUUUGUCAAACUUUGCAACAACAAUCUCAAGAUGCGGUUAAUACUAUGAAUUUAGUUCGUGCAACAAAAACUCUUAUUCAAGAACUGAGAGAAGAUGGUUGGGAUAAAUUGUAUACUAAUGUGACGUCUUAUUGUGUAAGACAUAUUAUUGAGAUUUAUGAUCUUAAUUGUACUCAUUCAACAAGAUUAGGACGCUCUCGUUUUGAAGAGAAUCAGGUCACAGUAGAGCAUUACUUUAAAGUUGAGAUAUUUUUUGCUAUCAUUGACCAACAAUUACAAGAGUUGAAUAGCAGAUUUAGUGAGGAAGUAAUGGAGUUGUUAACUCUAAGUUGUGCUUUGAAUCCCAAAGGUAAAUAAGGCUUUUAACAUUGAUAUUAUAUGCACUCUAGUUGAAAAAUAUUAUCCUAUGAAUUUCAAUGAGCAAGAGAAGAUUACUUUGCAAUUUCAACUUCGGCAAUUUCUCGUUGUUGCUCGCCAAUCAAAACAUUUGAACAAUUUAUCAACUAUUUAAGAGUUAUGUUCAUGUUUGGUUGCAACUGAUAGGGCGACAAUCUACUACUUGAUUGAUAGAUUACUCCGUCUUAUCAUGACUCUUCCAGUUUCUACGACCACAACCGAGAGAUGUUUUUCAGCAAUGAAAAUGAUUAAGACUAGGUUGCGAAACAAGAUGGAGGGUCGGUUUCUAGCCGAUAGCAUGACUGUUUACAUUGAAAGGAAAAUCGGUGCAAGUAUUAGUUCAGAUCUUN